CUGGACACAACAGCAAUCACUGUUUGUGAGGAUUAAAUCUAUUAAUACAUGAAAAGCAGAGUUGGAGCCAACAACUGUUUUUCUACCUGGGUCUCAUACAUUUUUCUAGGCUCCUAGAAGCUCUUACCUCUGGGAUCUCAUUGCACUGGCCAAGGCUGCUGGCUCGUCGGGGAUUUGCUCCUGUGUACUCUGGGAAAAGGCCUCUGCCAGCAAUUCCCACUUGUUCGAGGGCCACAGAAAGCUGUAGUCUUUUCUUCCCCUGGGUCUCACAAUCUCGUCUAGACACCCUGAUGAGGUGGAGGAUGUAAUUACACCUGGAAACACUCUGUGCACCAGUCACCCAGUUCCUCAUGUGUGUGACUCA
Non-coding RNA from Callorhinus ursinus (northern fur seal), 364 nucleotides. The record is from RefSeq and is a predicted model, not a curated record. NCBI's taxonomy places the organism in Eukaryota, Metazoa, Chordata, Mammalia, Carnivora, Otariidae.